Molecule: ribosomal RNA, 598 nt
Filed under: uncultured phototrophic eukaryote
Lineage: Eukaryota
Description: bacterial SSU rRNA
Rfam family: Bacterial small subunit ribosomal RNA
Source: RNAcentral
GCAGUCGUACGAGAAUUUUUAAUUCUAGUGGCGGACGGGUGAGUAACACGUAAGAAUUUACCUUUAGGAGGGGGAUAUUAAAAUACCCCAUAUGCUUUCGAGUGAAAUGGAUUUCCGCCUAAAGAGAAGCUUGCGGCUGAUUAGCUUGUUGGUGAGGUAAUGGCUUACCAAGGCGACGAUCAGUAUCUGGUUUGAGAGGACGAUCAGACACACUGGAACUGAGACACGGUCCAGACUCCUACGGGAGGCAGCAGUGGGGAAUUUUCCGCAAUGGGCGAAAGCCUGACGGAGCAAUCUCGCGUGAGGGAUGACGGCCUAUGGGUUGUAAACCUCUUUUUUCAGGGAGGAAUCAAUGACGUGUACCUGAAGAAUAAGCAUCGGCUAACUCCGUGCCAGCAGCCGCGGUAAGACGGAGGAUGCAAGUGUUAUCCGGAAUCACUGGGCGUAAAGCGUCUGUAGGUGGUUUAAUAAGUCAACUGUUAAAUCUUGAAGCUUAACUUCAAAAUCGCAGUCGAAACUAUUAGACUAGAGUAUAGUAGGGGUAAAGGGAAUUUCCAGUGGAGCGGUGAAAUGCGUAGAGAUUGGAAAGAACACCGAU